UAGGAAAGUCCGGACACCACAGAGCAGCAAAGCGGAUAACAUCCGUCACCCGUGAGGGUAGGACAAGUGCAACAGAAAGCAGGUACAGUUCGGCUGUAGUGAAACCAGGUAAACUCUUUGCGGUGCAAUGGUAAGUAUAUCGGUUCUUUUCAGUAAUGAAAAUAGGGGCGGCUCGUCCUGAAAACCGAGGGGUAAUCAGCUCAAGUGUUGCAGCAAUGUAACACGCAGAUAAAUAACAGGCGCUUCUCCGGAAGUACAGAAUCCGGCUUA
Molecule: RNase P RNA, 270 nt
Filed under: Chryseobacterium gleum ATCC 35910
Lineage: Bacteria; Pseudomonadati; Bacteroidota; Flavobacteriia; Flavobacteriales; Weeksellaceae
Description: Bacterial RNase P class A
Rfam family: Bacterial RNase P class A
About the family: Ribonuclease P (RNase P) is a ubiquitous endoribonuclease, found in archaea, bacteria and eukarya as well as chloroplasts and mitochondria.
Source: RNAcentral